Molecule: ribosomal RNA, 251 nt
Filed under: uncultured prokaryote
Description: partial 16S rRNA
Rfam family: Bacterial small subunit ribosomal RNA
Source: RNAcentral
ACGGAGGGUGCAAGCGUUAAUCGGAAUUACUGGGCGUAAAGCGCACGUAGGCUGUAGUGUAAGUCAGGGGUGAAAUCCCACGGCUCAACCGUGGAACUGCCUUUGAUACUGCACAACUUGAAUCCGGGAGAGGGUGGCGGAAUUCCAGGUAUAUGACGGAAAUCCGUAGAUAACUGGAGGGACAACAAUGGCGAAGGCGGCCACCAGGACCAGUAACGACACUGAGAUGCGAAAGCGUAGGGAGCAAACAG